Molecule: microRNA precursor, 168 nt
Filed under: Triticum aestivum (bread wheat)
Lineage: Eukaryota; Viridiplantae; Streptophyta; Magnoliopsida; Poales; Poaceae
Also listed under: 1 other name
Description: MIR2118 microRNA precursor family
Rfam family: MIR2118 microRNA precursor family
Source: Rfam by way of RNAcentral
AACGGAGGGAGUAAAAAGGAGGGUAUUUAAGAGUAGUGGGUGUCAUACCAUGGAGGAUAGCUCGACUCUUCUUCCCUCUAUACUCAGGGUAUCAAGAUUUGUGUUGGUGUUUUCCCAAUGUAUCUCUUUCCUAUUGUUCUUAAGUGCUCCUUCCUCUUCCUUUCAGCU